Molecule: long non-coding RNA, 1400 nt
Organism: Armigeres subalbatus
Lineage: Eukaryota; Metazoa; Arthropoda; Insecta; Diptera; Culicidae
Exons: 3
Source: RefSeq, a predicted model, not a curated record
GCACCCUGCGCAUUCGAAUACUCAAAUGUUUUGUCAACUUUCGUUAGCCUUCGGGCGAUAUGAGUGCCGAUGAUCGAAGCACGGUCGGUUACCUAAAGAAGAAACGAUGAGAAUAAAUCAGACUGUUCUGUGACUCGAAACGUAUCGGUUGUUUUUAAUGUGUUCCGCUCACGGUCUUAUAAAGUUAGUUCCUACUCUUUAUCUACCUAAAACUUGUCUUUAAAAGUGGCGACGAGGUGCAAAGGGCUAUUAAGUUCCGAAGAAAGUAAAAUACCGGAUGCAAUAGCACAGAAGCAACGAGUAGCUGAUCUUACUUACCCGGUACACGCUAUUGUACCACCUCGACGUGCGAUAGGUGAAGCGAUUUGGAAAGCGAACGAGUUUACUUCUGGCUAAUCAAUUGCGACGUAAGGCUGUUACUAAGGUUUGGAACCUAGUUUGGUUCAAUUACCGGCGUUUCAUACCAGUGCUCGGUAACACCAAAGUUAGCGGUUAGUGGUUCUAUCACACGUGCACCAAAUCGAUUGACUAGUAGUCAGUAAAAAUCCGGAAAAAAAAUUGACAAAUACCGACGAUCCCGUCGGUGCGGCUGGUCGACGUUACUGCAACGUUACGGCACGGCUCAGAGGGGAGCCUAUUUUGUCAUUAGCGAUACAGCGGUAAAUUGUUUUUCCCAAACGAUUGGAUUCUGGUGCUUGGUACGGUAGAGUGGUGAUAGACGAGGGUCGAAGGAUUUGGUUGAUACGUGCUGGAAGCGUAGAGGCCAUGGUGCACCGCAAUCAACUUAAGCUUAUGAAGGAUGGUUCACAAUGGCAACGGCCAAACGUUGUCAUCACACGUAGCAUUCCCGACAGUACAACGAAUAACGGACAAACGGACUUGAAUAUGAGACACGAUGUUUACGAAGAAGGCUCAAGUGGGACCCCAACUGGGAGUACAUGCGAUAGAAAGCGGAAACGUCCAAUUUCCGAAGUGGAUACACAUGAACUUAGGAGGUCGAAGCGCAACAAAAAAUCGAAUCGGAACGAUGAUUAUUUAUAUGAGUAAUUUCAUUUAUCUUUUGCCAUAUUAACCUUAUAUGUAUUCAGAAUUGAAUUUCGAUUGUUUUGUUUAUAAGAUGAAUUCUUUAUUUUUGAUUAAUGUCAGUUCAGAAAUGUUGUAUGCUAGACAAUAUUCUAAAAGGGGAAGAACUGUAAGACCCCUCGCGCGCACCCUGCGCAUUCGAAUACUCAAAUGUUUUGUCAACUUUCGUUAGCCUUCGGGCGAUAUGAGUGCCGAUGAUCGAAGCACGGUCGGUUACCUAAAGAAGAAACGAUGAGAAUAAAUCAGACUGUUCUGUGACUCGAAACGUAUCGGUUGUUUUUAAUGUGUUCCGCUCACGGUCUUAUAAAGUUAGUUCC